Molecule: long non-coding RNA, 2776 nt
Filed under: Malus domestica (apple)
Lineage: Eukaryota; Viridiplantae; Streptophyta; Magnoliopsida; Rosales; Rosaceae
Description: long non-coding RNA (MDOM_LNC002664)
Source: RNAcentral
GUUCUAACGGUGAUAGUGGCUAACGGAUUUCAUCGUUGGAGUCGAUCGAAUAUGACACCUAAAGACCCACCAAUCCGCCGGCUCGAGUGCAGACGAAACCAGGUCUUUAGGUCAACUUGUGUGCCACAUUUCCAUUUUGGGAAGGUCUCCCGGAUUCCUUAUGGCUUUCCAUAUAUAGGAGUCCCUAAUUACUAUUUUUCCUUUGCCUUUGCUCACUUACAUCACCUCGUUUAAAACUUAGUUAUGCAAACAAUUUUCGCAUACGCGUUCGGGAGAUCGAGCUUUAUCCAAAAGUAUUAAGUGUGAGCCUGAAAGGUCUACUAAAUUUUAAUAAAUAUUUACAAAAAAUCAAACUUGUGACUAACUAAACCUCUAAAAUUAACUAAAUAAAAAUCAAGUCGCGAAAAUUUGGGAUACAAAAAUUGAAUAGCGAAAUCGAGGAUGGGAUUUCAUAACAACGGUGUUGGUGGGGGUGGAGGAUAUGGUCAUAGUAAGGUGGCAGUGGCGAUAUGGUGUUAGAAGUGGUAAUAAUGAUAGUUAUUGCAUUAUGAUGGGUGGUGGAGUAUAUUAUCAAAGAAUUGAAAAAAUUGAAAUCCAUCAAAAUCAUAGGGGGAGAGGUCGGAUACGCUAUAACAAAAGACUCACUAUAAAAGCAGUCGAAGUCCUUCAAAGUUCUUCAAUGUUCAUGACUUUUGUAAAAAUAUCGAUGUUCUAAAAAAAAGUCCUUCAAAGUUCAUGACUUUUUAAAUUCUUUAAAAUUAAUGAAGUUUUGAAUACAUCUGGACUUUUGUAGACUCACAAAAAGUUAUAAUUCAAUACCAAAAGAUUUUUAUAGAUAUUUUAGAUGUUAUAAAAAUCAAUACAAUGUGACUUUUUAUUAACACUUUGAAAGUCUAUAUUGAAUAGGCUUGGAUUUGAGAGUGAAGCAAAGUCUAUCAGACUCCAUAUACAAUACAUCCCACUAAGAUUCUAUGAAACUCCAUUACACUCUAUACAAUUUUUUAAACCUUUUAAAAUCUCAAUUGAAUACAUCUCUCUAAAUAUUAAAUUCCAAAAACGAAAUAGUUUUUUAGGAAAUACCCAGAAAUAUGACAGUUUCUUAAUCUUGGGACAGAAAUAGGACAUUUUGAAUAUGCACACACCAUGCACACACCAUGCACAACAAUCGGACAUAAAUAGGACAUUUUGAAUAUGCACACACCAUGCACACGCCAUGCACAACAAUUUCCUACACCCUUAAAUGACCAAAUUGUCCUCUCAUAUAAAUAUGUUAUCAAGAAAUUCCAGCUCUCAUUUCUCAUUUUGUUGAGAGAGAAACAAAGAGGAGAGAGAGAGAAAAUCUCUCUCCCCCAAUUCUAGUUCGAAGAACCCUAACCUACCCAUCUUCUUCAUCUAGGAGCUCUCUAUAACCCACGCAUCUUCUUCAUCCAAGCUCUCUCUCUUUCUCUCUAUCUCCUCUCGCUACAUUUCAAUUAUGUACAAGAGCUCUCUCUCUAACCCACUAAUCUUCUUCAAUUUUUACCUUUUCAUUCAUAGGUUUUGUGAACUGGGUUUGCUUGCUUUUUGAUUGAUGAAUUUUUGGAGUUGAAGUGAUUGGUUUGGUGUUUCUUGGAGGAGACCCAAAUCCUUCAUUUUUUAUUUUUUAUUUUAUUUUUUAUCACUUUUUGAUUUAUAUGUGGGUUUUCAUUUUUUCUAUCUUCUCCCUCCCCUUGCUCCCUCUCAAUCCAAAUUUACAAGCACUAAAAUAGGGUUUGGCAUUUGCUACAAUUAAAUGAAAAAACGUAUUAAAGGUCAGUUGCCUUUUGGAGAAUAGAUAAAUUUGAGAGAAAAUAGAGAAAUCAGAGUGGAAAGAAGAAAGAGAGAAGAAUAUGGAUGAAAUUGUUUUGCGUACUCGUUCUCUCUCUUCGUAUUAAGCUCGCUCAUACACGACAUGCACAUGACAUGCACACAUAUCUGAGUUCAACCCAAAAACCCAUAGCUCACAGCUCUCUCUCUUCGAAAUCAGAAAAAUGACGCAAUCUGAUAAAUGAUCCUAAACUUUAUAUGAAGAAUCGAAAAUUCAUUAUUUUGAAUUUGGUAUCAAAUUUGAUUGGGUUCAAAUAUUUCAACGAUUUGAAAAACUUGCAACACGAAGGAACCCAACUGAAUCAAAGGAAAUUGUUUCACAAACUUGUUCCCUUUCCUCGUAUUUGUAGGGCCUGCCUCUGAAUCAAAGGAAAAAGUAGUAAACUACGUUAAUGCGAAGAGUAUCAAAGAUGUAAAUACGCACCAUCUACACAUAACACACUAUAUGCACACCACAUGCACAUAAUAUGUACAGUACAUGCACAUGAUAUGCACAAAAUGAGAGAAACUUUAAUGGCAACAUCUUGGUAUAAUGGGUACAAUUAAAACAUACUUGUUAUGUAUAUAAGUUUAAAAUCACAGUUUGAAAAGUCUUGUUACGUAUAUCAACCACCACUUAACCGUGCACAGAAAACAUGAUUCUCGUUAUCGUUAUUUCAUGAAAACGCAUGACCCUUAACGUCCUCUAAGUUUUUUCUUAAUUUUGUUUUUCAUCGAGGCCAACUAGGUUAUGGUCAUACUUGCUAAAUUCUAGGGCACAACAUAUGUGCAUCAUAACUAGUGAACAUUCCCGCUUCUCAUAUUAAGAUGUAGCCAUGCACACCACAUGCACAUUACGGAAAAAAAAUUCACAAAUUUUUGCAAUUGAACACUUGAACCAAAAAUUGUUCCAUCCCAGUCUUGUAGCAUGUCAACACUUCAAAUUUAUUCC